GGAGUUGUAGCUCAGUGGUGAAGCACUUGCCUAGCAUGCGUGAGGCACUGGGUUCAAUUCUCAGCACCA
RNAcentral lists this transfer RNA (69 nucleotides) under Ictidomys tridecemlineatus (thirteen-lined ground squirrel). Its description in RNAcentral is "Spermophilus tridecemlineatus (thirteen-lined ground squirrel) tRNA". It matches the Rfam family "tRNA". Rfam says of the family: Transfer RNA (tRNA) molecules are approximately 80 nucleotides in length. Their secondary structure includes four short double-helical elements and three loops (D, anti-codon, and T loops). The record is from Rfam by way of RNAcentral. Lineage: Eukaryota; Metazoa; Chordata; Mammalia; Rodentia; Sciuridae.